CUUAGCUAUUAUUUCAACGAUUAUAAUUGUUUUGUCAAAUAAAUUUACAAUCCCGCUUACUAAACGGACGCUCUAACCAACUAAGCUACAAGAGCUCACUAUAAUCUUAUAUGAAUAUACAUCAUAUAUACUUUUUAGUUUUAGUUUUGAUAAUUUAUUUUUACCAUAUUAAGAUUUGUUGAACAUUCUGCUCAUAUGUUCGUUACUAUCGGAUUUUCUAUUCAGCCAACAAGCACUCAUUUUAACUCAUGUUUUCUUGUUUUGAUUACUGCCAAGAUACUCAACAUUAUAAAACAAAUUUCAGGUGGUAUACUACAAAGGUAUCAAAUCAUAUUAUUUGGAAUUGAUAACCCAUGAAAUGAGUCAAA
RNAcentral lists this long non-coding RNA (368 nucleotides) under Jatropha curcas. Its description in RNAcentral is "long non-coding RNA (JCUR_LNC001539)". The record is from RNAcentral. Lineage: Eukaryota; Viridiplantae; Streptophyta; Magnoliopsida; Malpighiales; Euphorbiaceae.